Molecule: transfer RNA, 69 nt
Filed under: Orfelia nemoralis
Lineage: Eukaryota; Metazoa; Arthropoda; Insecta; Diptera; Keroplatidae
Description: tRNA-Cys
Source: RNAcentral
GGUUUUAUAUUUUAUUUAAUAAAAUAUUAAAUUGCAAUUUUAAAGAUGUAUUAAUUUAUACUAAAACUU